UACGAAGGGGGCUAGCGUUGCUCGGAAUCACUGGGCGUAAAGGGUGCGUAGGCGGCUUGUUAAGUCAGGGGUGAAAUCCCACGGCCCAACCGUGGAACUGCCUUUGAUACUGGCGAGCUUGAGUGCGUGAGGGGUAACCGGAACGAGUAGUGUAGCGGUGAAAUGCGUAGAUAUUACUCGGAAGGCCAAAGGCGAAGGCAGGUUACUGGUACGCAACUGACGCUGAGGCACGAAAGCGUGGGGAGCAAACAGG
This 253-nucleotide ribosomal RNA is filed under the name uncultured bacterium. Its description in RNAcentral is "partial 16S ribosomal RNA". It matches the Rfam family "Bacterial small subunit ribosomal RNA", at positions 524 to 776 of the family's 1533-position model. The record is from RNAcentral.